UACAGCCCAAUAAUAGGCGUCCAUGGUGGACGCGUAUUAUUGGGCUGUACAUUCCUGGGUUGAGCAUUCUCGGGCCGCGCAAUAUUGGUCCGGGGCGAUAAUACGAAGCCACUCUUUUCACAGGGCAAUAAUGUACGACCCCAUAAUUCGCGUCCAAUAAUUUGAGUCCCUUGGCUUUCAAUUAUUGGGCUGCGCAUUAUUGGUACAGGUCGAGAAAGCCCGACCCAAUAAUGUACGACCCAAUAAUAGGAAGCCAAAAACCAGAGAGAUUCUUUUUUUUAAGGGAGCUGUCAAAAUUAGUAGGGACGUUCUGACAUUAGCUCUUGACAAUUUAAAAAUAAUCGGUUUUUUCUAGUGCCAUCUUUCAGUGACAUUGACAGUAUUGUAUUGACACUUGUUGGUUUACAAAUACAAUAAAAUGAAUUCUAAUAAAAGAAACAGUAGACUCAGUAGAGGUACGAGGUACUGAAAAAAUAUUAAUUAAUGGAGAAGCCAAAGUUGGAGGAAAACAAGAAGAUUCGAGGAGAAUGGUGUGGCACUUAAUGCCGCCGGGACAGUAACCUAGCUGCAGCUCCAACUCUAGGGAAUUGGGCUGAAUGAACGCAACACGUGAUCGACAGCCCACCUGCUUCCUGCCGAGCGUCCCUACACUACAUCUACAUGGAUUCGCUUAUUCUGCUCUACAAAACUUCUGAGCUGAUACAAGCAGCCAGAAUGAGUCUCUGCUGAGUCGCCGGCGCCGGACGUGCGUCGCGCGCCUCGGGCGACUGACGUCUUCGUGUGAGUCGCCAAUUGCAGGGGAAGAUACGAAUAGUUAGGUAUAAAAGCUACUUUAGUCAACCUCGCCUCAGUACUGUUUGUAUUGACUGAAAUACAAGUAGCAUAUAUGAGACGUUCGGACGUAUCCGUGAAAAUACGAAGGUAAAGGAAAUUGCACUACAUUUUUAGAACCUAUUCACCUGUCAGUAAGAUAUUGAAAAGGAAAGUUCAUGAGUUUUAUUAUUUUCUUUCCUCCAACAGCUUCACAUGGAGCAAAUGUAAACCUUUUAUGUUAAUAAUAUCAGUAAUGUCAAGGUACAACGCUCUUUAGAGCAUAUUGCCAUUCCUUUUACUCGAGUGGCCUGUGGGUUAACUAUACGAAGCGAGCCUACGAUGCAUUAAAAGUGCAGUAUAACAAUGCAUUCAGAAUGCUGUUGGGCUUACCUCGUAGAUGUAGUGCAUCUGGCAUGUUUUGCGAAGCUAGAAGUUUUCUGGCAAUCAUGCGCAAGAAAAUAGUAUCUCUGCUAGGUCGAGUUAGAAGCAGUCCCAAACAUACAUGUUCGAAAAGUAGAACUCCCUUAGUAGGCCAAGCAAUAAGAAGUUAUAGAGGGAAAUGCUAGGAACACAAUUUUUGACUACGUAACUUUGUUUGGACUAGUUAGGAGGUGAACAUAUCAAAAGUCCCCGGCUGUAGCCCCGGUACUGGGGGGUAGACUAGUUAUAGUCCAAACAAAGUUACGGAGUCAAAAACUGUGUUCCUAGCAUUUCCCUCUACAACGUUUUUUGAGCAUUCAUUUCCUGACCUAUAGAUCGUGUUUCAAUUUAUCGCCUCUCGUUGGCAAUUAAGGUGGUUCGCUUUCCAUACAAAAAAAAAACAAUUACAUAAGUACCUAAUAGUGUGUAAUUACUUAAUAUAACGCAAUUGUUUUUUGUAUGGAAAGCGAACCACCUUAACUAUUCGCACAACGUUUUGUAGUUGCAGUAAGUACUUACAUAUGGCCGGUUAAAUUUUCGAAAUAGGUAUGUAUUUACGUACAGUGCUAAUUGCCGCACAUAGAAUAAUUAAAGUUUGAUCAAUCGGAAUAUGUUCCUAAGUCACUUAUUACAUUUCGAAUUAUAAGUCUGUAUUUUACAGCUUUAGAUGUGCAUGACUGCAUAUGCACAUCUAAAGCUGAAAAAUGCUUUCAUGAAAUUAUGGCUAAAUUAUGUUAAUAGGGACAAAUGUAUCAUUUUCAACCAAAUGGGUUCUUAUUAUCUGUUGUCAAUAAGGCGCUAUUUCCAUAAAGCUUCAAUUUGAAAUCAGCCUCGUCGACAACCGACAAUGUUAACCUUUUGGUUGAAAACGUCACAAAUUAUGGCGAUAGAGAAUACAAUGUUCUGUUGCCAGAGUGCAGCACUAGUAAAACCCGUAAACGAGUGAAUUGCAAAAAAGUGUAGGUAACACAAUGGAAUAUUCACAAAAAUAUGAAAGAAUGUAACACAAAAUGAAGAAAAUGUAUGUGUUUUUUUUGUGUUACGUCACACAAAGGACGCCAAAAUCGACGCCGCAAUAUUUUUCACGACGUGUAGAAUAAAAGUGGCGUCGAAUUCAGGAAUCCGCAAAUACUAUGGUAGCCGAUAGCCAAGUAAUUUAUCAAUAGAACAAUGUUAAAACAGUAGUAGAAACGGUGAGCUUUGCAAACUUUUAGUAGAUUGGUUUGGUUUUGGUAGAUUUCUCGGUUUGGCAUGCUUGAUGCUCUUCACAUCACCACAGACGGAGGUCGACAGUUCGAAUCUGUCUUGUUCAACCAAUUGAUGGAGGCACAUGCACGCAUACGAAGUAUACGAACCACAUAUUACACUACCAUCCUGGAGCUAAUUGGAUUAUUUGCAUCUACUAUUAUAGUAUAUACCUAUGCCUUAUUUUUACGCCUAAGACCCUAAGCUUUUAACAAAAACCAUUAUUUCUUUUAUACCUACGGGCGGUUUAGCUCCCGUACCUACCUCUAUUAUACCUAGCCACGUGCUAAAGCAACAAUGUCCUUUAAAUCCGUAUCCCGUAUCGUGAUAGUAUUAAGAUUCAACUCGUCUACAUCGAGGUGGUCGAUCGUCCUAAAUACAUUACCAAAACAUGUUAACUCGUAUGAGCCGUUACAUAGAUCUGAACCUUAAUACUAUCAUGAUAAUUAUUGAUUAAUAUUUUUAAAUAAUUUGUUAAGCAUAUUUACACUUGCAAAUAUACACUUGCAGCAUUCUAAUAUUAUGGUAUGGUAAACAUAUAACAUGUUAUAUAUUCGCGAUUCAUGUCAACAGCCCUGUCGCCAGGCCCCCGCCCGCCGCG
Cydia fagiglandana is the source of this 3079-nucleotide long non-coding RNA. RefSeq lists it as uncharacterized. The record is from RefSeq and is a predicted model, not a curated record. NCBI's taxonomy places the organism in Eukaryota, Metazoa, Arthropoda, Insecta, Lepidoptera, Tortricidae. The transcript is spliced from 3 exons.